UAUACGCUUAAUUGAGAAUGGGC
This 23-nucleotide non-coding RNA is filed under the name Mus musculus (house mouse). The record is from RNAcentral. Lineage: Eukaryota; Metazoa; Chordata; Mammalia; Rodentia; Muridae.